UGUAGCCAUGUUUGUAGAGACUGCAGCGAGGGAGUAAGAGGGCUCCUGUGGGGUAGGAGCUAACAGGGGAAAAGCUUAAAAAGCAGGAGAGAGUGAGGAAAACUCCCCAGGCAGGGAAGCCUGGGAAAGACUCUGUCCAAACAAGGGGCAGACUGCAAAGGACCAUCUGGAAAGUGUGGUGGAAUGGGACAAACUCUAGGCAGGUGGUUCUGGGAAGCAGAAAUACAGCCCCCAGGGAGGUGGGGCUCUGUCCCUCUGAAGGUGGGAUGAAGACUUUUUCCCAUCUGUAAAAUCAGGAAGAUGAUACCUACCUCAAAGGGACACUGUGAGGCUUAAUUCAUUAGCAUUUGUAAAAAGUGUGGAAGUAGAGCUGCUCAAAAAAUGGUAAAGAUGACCUGCAGUGGAACUCAGCAGUUAAGGGGGGGAAAAACAAGCUACAGAUCCACUGAGAGCAAUUUGGAGUUUUCCCCUGAAAAGUAGC
This is a long non-coding RNA of Mauremys reevesii (Reeves's turtle), 481 nucleotides long. RefSeq lists it as uncharacterized. NCBI's taxonomy places the organism in Eukaryota, Metazoa, Chordata, Testudines, Geoemydidae. The record is from RefSeq and is a predicted model, not a curated record. The transcript is spliced from 3 exons.